Molecule: small nuclear RNA, 114 nt
Filed under: Paramormyrops kingsleyae
Lineage: Eukaryota; Metazoa; Chordata; Actinopteri; Osteoglossiformes; Mormyridae
Description: U5 spliceosomal RNA (ENSPKIG00000014513.1)
Rfam family: U5 spliceosomal RNA
About the family: U5 RNA is a component of both types of known spliceosome. The precise function of this molecule is unknown, though it is known that the 5' loop is required for splice site selection and p220 binding, and that both the 3' stem-loop and the Sm site are important for Sm protein binding and cap methylation.
Source: RNAcentral
CGACUUGGGUCUCUCUUCAUCCCAUAUAAAUCUUUCGCCUUUUACUAAAGAUUUCCAUGGAGAGGGAUAGUGAUGACUUCACAGUAUUUUUGGAGGCUCUGUCCAAGUAGAGUU